RNAcentral lists this long non-coding RNA (14969 nucleotides) under Fragaria vesca (wild strawberry). Its description in RNAcentral is "long non-coding RNA (FVES_LNC002719)". Lineage: Eukaryota; Viridiplantae; Streptophyta; Magnoliopsida; Rosales; Rosaceae. The record is from RNAcentral.
AACCAGGAGGUCCAAUAACUGUUGGUUUUUCCGAGAUCUGAAAUUCUGGCUUAUUCUUUUUCUUCAUAUCAAUUUCUCGCUGUCGAUCUUUGCUAAUAAGUCCCAACUUCGCUCGCUCGGCUUCACGUUGUCUCUCCUUCUCCGUCAGGUACCUGACAGGUGUAGGUGCACUUAAGCAUUGCUCAUAAAACUUUUCUCUUUCAGCAUAUCUUUUCCCUCCUGCACCUUUAGGAGCAGCAUCUGCAGAACCCUUUUUCGUAGUUAUCUUUGAGCGCUUCAGCGGGGCUGCAGUUUUCACCUUCGCCUUGCCCUUUGAAGUCCCACUCACAGAGCACCUCUGAAGGAAGUGGUGGCUAGAAGAAGACUCAAGCAAAGAUAUUAGGGGCUUAAUCUUUAAGAUUCGUAUCAUUUUCUAAAUCCCACCAAGCUCUUUCAGCACAAUAUAUCAACGUCUUGUUUCUUACUGCCUGCAUUACAACAAAGUAAGAAAUCACUAUUCACUUCAUCCACCACUCAAAUGCAAAACCCAAAUCACACCCACAACUUCAAAUACUACACUGCCAAAAGUUCACAAGAUAUGAAAAACUUCAGACUGGUUGCACAAUGAAGUGUCCAUAACAUAAUCGAAACUCAGAAGCUUGCAAUCAGCAAUAGCCUCACAAAACCCAUUACACCGAUUCCCAAAGCAAUGCCAUAUCUAAAGUUUCAAACUUCAACAACCAAAUACAGCUAUAAGCAUCAUAUUUUAGCAAUCAGGGAAACAUAAAGGUGAAGACUAAUCUUACUCUUUCCCACUGUUCACAGCGUUACCCAUAACUACAACCAUGAAGUUUAACCUUUUCGGAUAAAAGAUCCAACAUCUACCAAAUCACAAUUACAAUAUGGAAUUCAAAUUACACAGACAGACAAAGAAAAUCGAUGAACAAUACAAUAAAGACUUAACCUUUAGCACUAAACCCACUAAACUAAACCCAGUAUUCAUCAAUGCUUUAAAAGGCUAAGGCGCAGCCAAGGCAUUCUAGGUAGAGCCUCAACAAGGCGGUCGCCUUGAGGCGUAAGGUGUAAGCCUUUUGUUAAAUGAGUUGGAUUCAUCUAAUACUUACUCUUAUAUAUAGAAACAUGUAUUGUGACCAAAACAAGCAUAUUAUAAAUAGUAAUCCUUUCAUAAUAAGUACUAAAACCAUGCAAUUCAACCAAAUCACCAAACAUACAUAACAAAUCCAAGGAUUUAAACUUGACAGAUCAAAGUACUAGCAGAGCUGUAUAUAUAUCUCUAAGGAGAAUUUGCAUGUAUACAACACCCAUCUACCAUUUACUAAUAUGUCUAGGAAAGAGCCGAAGGACUUCACAAACUGUAAUCCUACAAUAUUAGAGGUAAUCCAAUAGAGAACUCCGAUAAAUUAGUUUCUUCAUAGUUUAUGAUAUUAUGAACUCAGUACCACCUAAUUCCCACAUAUUUCCGGAGGCUCCUCUUCCAUGAUUUCCACAUAAUUCUACCUAAAAAGCAUAGAUAUACUUCCAAAUCGAAAUUGAAAAGGGUUUUGAAGAUUGAUUACUCGGAUUGAAAUCCCUGGCUCCCUCCAACACAAAAAGAAAAGGAUUCGUUUAAAUCAAAGAACAUGAAAGUGAUGAGACCCAUUUAGCACAGCAGGAAUUUAAGCAAAUUUGAGUUGAAAUACCUUUAAUUAGGAAAAAGAAAUGGCGAGAGAACGACGAGGAGGAGAAGAGUCCGCGAAGAGGAGGAGGAGACUGAAUGCUAAAUGACUCAAAAUACUGGCUCUAAUAGCGACCUAGUUUAUUCUUCACCGGAACGACGCCGUCUUGGCGUUAAAAAAUAAAAAAUAAAAAAUUUGCUGGGUAUUCAUAUCAACAAGAUAAACCCUUUUCGAUAAACCCUACUCCAUUUUUGCGUUCCAUAGAUUUUCCCAGAGAAACAAAUCGGUAAAACAAAUUUUGAUAAACAAAAAGAUAGAGAAACAAAACAAACCCAAGUGAAAAGUUGAUAAAGAUAUAAGCAGAGAAAGAGGGUACCUGUCAGUAUUGGUAUUGGCUUAGCAGAAAUGGCACUACGCUCAUCAGAGGAAGGAGAAAGGGACUGAGAGACUAGUAGCCAGAGAGAGUUGGGAGAGAAGAGAAAAGGGUUUUGGACCAGUUUAAUGGUCUUGGGCUCUCUCUGUGUUAUGGGCUUGGGUUUUUACAAUUCUGAGGUUAGCCCGUCAGGGUUUAAGCUAUGUUUAUUUGCUACGGUGCCAACAAUAAACUCGCUCCUAUAGUGUCAUUUGCUUAAGCAUUUUCAGGUUUCUCCGGUUUGAUUAGCCCACACGAUUGGUGCAUCUUUUGGUGAAGAUAAUAAGCAAUGGAGACUGAUAAGAAAGAAGUGGAUGUCUUGAUCCCUGUGGUGGUGGCCGUUGUUUCGGAUUCUCCACCUUCGAAUGAGCUUGGACUUGUAGAGAGGAAGAGAUAAUUCCAAUGAAGAGGUUGAAGAUGGAUUGGGAUACAUAUGUUCCUUUGGACGAGAGAGUAGACAAAGAAGGUCCUGAAAUCUUUGUCUUGAGCUGCAAGCAAAGAAGGGCUGCUCUCAAACACAGAAAUGUCAGGGGAAACAGUGACCUAGCGAAGUUUGAAUAUGCCGUGCCUUAUUUAAAUCCGGCGGCGCAAGUAAUGUGUCAUGAACUUCAAGUCCAUGAGGAGGAGGAGUAUUUUAGUGCUAAUGGUGAUGAGCUGGAGGAGAUGUACUUCAGUGGGUGAGGAUGAGAAUGAGGUGAUGAAAGAAGAUGAUGAGAAGAAAGUGAAGGUUGAAGAAGAAGCAAAGGGAGAAAGUAUCGAUCUUCGAGUUAGGGAAGGCGGCCGGAGAAGAAGUGUGGAGGAUCUGAUGAAGAUGAAGGUUUACAAGUUUUAUCCAGUACAAACACCGGAUUCACCUGGGACCAAUGUUUUAAAAGGCUAAGGCGUAGCCGAGGCAAUGGAGCGAGAGCCUCACCAAUGCGCUUACCUUGAGGCGUAAGCCUUUUAGAAAAAAAAAAAAAACUUGCAUUAAUCACUAGAACUCAUUGUGCUGCCUGCAACAAUGAGUAAACCAACAACAAUCUAUAACACACCAACAAUCUGUAACACAUUCAUAAUUCUCAGUCUUAAGAGGCAAAAAGACAGUUAAGUUAAGAGCAAAGCACCAUCAAGGGAAGGAAGUCAAAAACAAUAAUGUAAGAUCAAUUAAGCAUCUUGUUAUGCACAGAACUACUGAACCAUCACAGUCUCUUCCAUCAUAAAAAAGCUCAUAAAACCAACCAGAUGGUUGAUCACUCUAUCACAAUGAACCACACACACAGCUCAAGCAUUCAUCCUUCUCAUUCUCGAUUGUAAAAUGCAGUAACUGUGUACAAUUAAGAAAACACAAUUCACAACAGUCCAAUUGAAUAGGAAGAUGUGCGUACCUCAAAUCAAUGGUGAGUUGGUGACCGAUUACUCUCGGCUUGGAGGGUGCGGCCGCAAUGCGAGGCUUAGGGAGAGGAAGAGGUUUGAGGCGAUUGAGUUGCAGAAGACAGCGACGAGGCGGUGGUCGACUGGUCGGAAUCCUGGUGGUGGUCGAUCGGGAGAGGGAGAGGGAGAGGGAGGCGCACGACCCCUAGCCUUUAUUCAGUAAUACACUAAAACCCAAAACGAGUUAAAACGACCCCGUUUCCUUCCAUAAAACUAGGCGCAUACGGGUGAUUUAUUGGUCCAUGUAUAAAUAAAACGUAUGUUUGUUGUAGGUAUAAACCGUAUUUGCUUGAUUUUUUACUUUGCUGUGCUACAUCAAAUUCAUUUAUAAGAGAAAUGUUUAAGAUCGAUCACCUGAGUGAAAUGAAAUGCUUUUAUUCUGCCUUGUCCGGACAUAUAUAAUUAAGACACUGAUUAAGAGUCAAUCUACUGAGAGACAGCUGAUUACUUCAUAACGAAAUUCAAGUCCUACUGUUCUAGGACAUACAUCUGUAUGGAAGUGCAAAACAGAACAAUUAUUGUUAUAUUACUGAAUGUAGAAAUGUAGUUGUUAUAAUUUUUACAUUCCAUUAUACCUUUGUGAAAUAACGAACAUCAUUGAAAGAAAGCUCUCUAAUUAGGAAGUUCACUUUCACUGUAUUCAUACUCACUAGAAGUUUCACUUUCACUAGAUUCAUACUCACUAGAAUUUUCAUUUUCACUGAAUUCAGACUCACUUGAAGUUUCACUUUCACUAGAUUCAGGCUCACCGGAAGUUCCAAUUCCACUGGUAGCUUGUUCUGUAUCAAUGACUUCAAAUUUCAGUAAAUCAUGAUCCUGGCCUUGGGCAUACAAAAAGCACACACCACACCUUUUCACCUCAAUGAACUGGCCAUCAAGUUUAGCAGAAAACUCAAAAGAAACUUCGGUGGCCAAUUUCACUAUAUCUGGAAGUGAAAGGGAUUUGUACACCACUAAUAGGUGAUCUGAACGUUCAUCAUCAAGCCUGGCUUUAUGGGAAUGAUUAUGAAAUAGAGUAAGUUGAUGGAGUGGCUUGCUAUUGGUUGUGAGAUUGCACUCGCAUUGAAUUCUGACAGAACGUGCUGUAUAGAAUGGCAAAACAGCCGACAGAGAAAAUCCCAAGAAGCUUUCAUCAAACCAAUGCUGAGGAAGCUUGGUUUUUAAGGAAGAUCCCUCCUUUUCACAGCUGAACCACUUUGGAAUCUCAGUUCCCGGACAUAUUAGAGUAACGAUACCAGAGUACAGAUGAUCCUGUUCAAUGUAUAGAGUUAUAGACAUGGUUAUCUAACUCUUCAAGGCUUUUGGUUCAUAAGAAAGCACAGGAAUUUACUCCAAUUGAUUAUAAGUGACGAUGCUUUUAGAAAAAGAAUAAGAUAUAAUAGUGAGACUGCGUGUGUGUAUCUGUGAGAGAUAAAGAGACAUACAUUUGCCAUUCGUGCAAUUCUGAGCCGUGCAUCAUCCAUCAUGUUGCUUCUUGUAUUCUCAUCUAGAUUUAUAGAACCACAAAAUGAAUGCCUCUGAUUCAAAUAUUGUGUAUGUGCAGCCAUUGGAUAUGACACCGUCUUCAGUGUCAGGCAGGCAUUUGCCACCAAAGUUGGAAGACAUGGGAGCUGUGGCAAAGACUGAAGGCGCUUGCAGUUACUAAUGUUCAGAUACUUGAGCCCAGACGCUUGCUUGAUUGUUGGAUUGAUCGUCUGAAUCAUGGUUCCACUUAGAUUUAGCCUUUGCAAUGAGGUUAAGCUGGUGAGGCCAUCAGGGAUUUCUUCUAACAAUUGACAAUCACUGAGGUCUACAGAUAUCAAAGGGCACAAAAUCACUGACACAGGAGGCAAUCUUUUCAGUUUCAAGCAGCCUGUAACUGCGAAAUGCUCAAGAACGUUCAAAUUGUAGACGCUGUUGGGGACAAACUCAAGGCUUGCACAUGAAGAUAUCUCUAGUGCUUUAAGCCCAACAAAAUUUUUAAUUGACGAGGGUACCUCUACAAUAUCUUUAUCAUGUAAACGAAGGAACUCAAGAAAUCCCAUUUCCUCCAAGAUGUCCGGGAACUUUUUGAUUCUAAAGGGUCCAGAGAGAUCAAGUUCCUUCAGAGAUUUUAACUCAUAGAUGCUGGCUGGGAGCCUCACAGGCUGUUCGCUAUCUUGCAGUACAACUGAAAUGAUCUGGCCAAUACACUGAAGGAGUUUGAGGCAUUUGAGCUUCCUAGGGCUUCUGCGAAUAUGCUCAAUGCUUGCACGGCUAGAGAGAUUCAGUUUAGCAAGUUUUUUGAGAGACCAAAUUGAUGAAGGCAAUUCUUCAGCUGCAGUUCCACUGAAACCCAAGUAUUUCAUCUUGCUUGGCAUCUCUGGAAGAGUUCUAAUAUUCGGGCACUUGCUCAGAUUCAGAUAAGUAAGCUUGGAACAAUUUUGAAAAUAAGAAGGAACUUGAACCAAACUUCUACAGCCUUUAAAAUCCAUAUACUCUAUAUCUAAACUCUUUGACAUAUCUGGAACUUCAACAAGCUCCACCGAGUAUCUAAGAUCAAUCCUUGUUAAGUGUUGAGGAUUCUGUAACAAAUAUAAGUGGCAACAAUAAGUUGGCUUGUACAUAACAUGUAAGUACAUUACCUUUUCCACUCUAAAAAAAAAUUCAAUACAUACAAGAGCCUAAGCAUUACCUGGCCUUUAUUCCAAAGUUUCUGGAGUUUGCUUAAGCGCAUACUAAGCUCGACAAGAUUUUUUGGGGAAAACUUUGAUGGCAAGGAUUUCCAAGGGUAUGCAUCCCAAUGGAGAUAUCUAAGGGAAUCAGGAAGAAACUCCAGAUAUGCUUUGUCAUUCAAAUGGAUGGCUGCAAAUUCAACCUUAAGGAAUGUUAGAUUAUGCAUUCCUGUGAAGGCUUGAGGAGUCAACUUUAUGUUAUGAUUGUGUAUGAAGUCUUGAUCAGUCAACAAGGCUUUAUACUUUUCUAAGAAAUCUUGAUUUGUAUGGCUCCCUGUCAAUAUCUGAGAAGCCAACGAGGCUGAAUCAUCCAAAAUUCUGCAUAAGGCUAUACUUCUAACUCUUCCAGUUCCCUGACAAUCAAGACCAUGAUUAUACCAUAAAAAUAAAAAAUGUCAAUAAAACUCGUUUCGCAGGAAUUAGAUUAAAAAGAGAUCGAUAAAUGCAUAAGGCUCUUACUGUAUUUCUUUCAAGUACAUGACAGACAUCCUUUCGAGUAUACAACCUCCUCUGCCCUCCAGGCUCUUUUGUUCCUUGUUCGCGGACAAUCUCCCAACCCAUUUCUUGUAUCACAUCAUGCAUCCAAAGAGUUUUGCCUUUGAUGGAUAUGAGAGACAUAUCUAUGAGAAUAUUGAUUCCACUAUCUGCAAACAAACCACAUGCAUCCAAUGCCCUUUUUGCAGAACGCACUCCCUCCCCUUUAUGGAAACAGACAAUAUCAAGAAAUACUUCCCUCUCAUUUUCUUCUAAUACAUCAUAACUGACUCGAUAUACAUUGUGAAGAUCUUUGUUGGGAAACUUUUUCAUUUUAUUCCAUAAUUCUUCCAGUUCUUCUUUCCUCUUGCAUCUAAGAAAUAAGGGAUGCCAAAUUUUAAGGGCUAAUGGAAUGCCAGCAGCAGAAUCUACCACCUUUUUUAAAAAUUCUGGAGAAUAGACAUCUCUGGACUCUCUGGGAGCAUUCGAAUAGAAGAGCUGAAGAGACUCAUCACCAUUUAAUUCCUCAAUCUUGUAUAUCUUAACAUCAUGGUCAGUUCCUUUCCUCACUACUUGCAUCUCCCUAACUCGUUGCCUAUCUCGAGUUGUUAUAAUGAUUCUACUUCCUGGACCAAAUGGAACUUGAUCUCCGGCUAAAAAUUCUAAUUGGACCGAAUCAUUCACAUCAUCAAGAACAACAAGGACUUUUGUACACUGGAGCCUCUCUUUAUAAUAACUGUCUAUAGUCUGACUUUCCAUAGGUGGUGUUUCUUCCCCUAAUAAUUUGCGAAGAAGUUUAUCUCGCAAACGAUACAAUUGAGGAGAGACAACUCCUUUGGCCUGUGAUUUUUCCCUAACAUUUGCAAGAAAACAGGCACCUUCGAAUUGAGAAUAGAGUCUGUGAAAUACAGCAUCAGCAAGGGUGGUCUUGCCAAUACCACCCAUCCCCCAAAUGACUACAAAGCGAAUGCGACAAUCUUCUGGGAUAAUGUCUAAUUCCUGCACAACUUGCUGAAUCCGACUUUCAAUGCCAACCAAGCCUGUCAAAUCUCUUGAGGAUCCACGAUUCAAUUUUUUGGAAAUAUCUAUGACGACUUGCUCAACUAAAUCAGAAUCAUCCCUAGCACAUAUGAUACAUAUAAUUAUAAUUAACAGUUAGUCAUACAAUUGAUUAGUCUGAAUUUCUUUAGGAAAAAUCAGACUUUCAGUUUUUAGCUAUUGGAAAUGGAUCAGUAAAUACAUCAUGACAGAUACCGAUCAAUUCUGACAUUGAUCAGCUAGUCAUACAAUCGAUUGACUAAAACGUUAUUACCUGACAUUGCUUGAAGUUGAAUCAAACCCGGAUAGAUUUGCUGCUUUUGUCAAAGCUGCCCUCCACUUGAGAACCUGACUGUCCUCGAAUCUUUCCUCAUGUUUGGCAAACACAGUGGCAUAAUCUCCAGUUUGGUGCCGGACAUGUGAUGGAUUCAUUUCAUGAAAAAUAGGUAUGGCAAGCCCUUCAUAUCUUUCCUUGCGUUCCAUUAUAUAAGCAAGUUCGUCCAAGCACCAUGGAGAAGAUGCAUAGUCUUGUGAGAAAAUGAUCACACAGAUCUUUGAUUUCUUGAUUGCUGUUCGUAGAGAUUUUUUGAUUUCAUCUCCCCUCUCCAGUCUGUAAUCUAUGUAUGUGUCGAUUUUAUGUCGCUUUAAAGCAGCAAGGAGAUGGCUGGUAAAAUUCUUUCGUGUAUCCGUGCCUCUAAAACUAAUAAACACAUCAUAAUGUUUUUUCAGCUGAAUAGCAGAAGAGGAAGCCAUACUGCAGAAAUCUGCAAAGGCUGUCUUGACUCUUGAGAGCAAAAAUCUCUGCACAAUGGUGACAAUCCGAGAAUACAUAAAGAUGACAGAGUGGUUAGAAAGAAACAAAUCCGAUACAAAAUAAGAAGAAGCAAAUAAGCUAGAUGAUGAACACUUACGGGGAGAUGAUGGUGAUCUUAUCAGGUAUGGCGUUAUGAUCUUUCUGUAAUUCAAACUAUAGAAAAACUGAGGAGUAAAGAUGGUGGAAAGAGGAAUCUGAAAUUCUGAAGCACUUUUGGUGAAAAUAUCUUUCAAUAAUUCAAAAUCAAUGUUCAAGUGAACCGAAAAAGACCAAGACACUCUAUGUACCACAUAUAUCAUAUCUGAUAAAUGGCCAACUGUGCACUGAUCAACAACACGACCGACAAUUGAUCAUUGACUAUUGCGUAGACUAAAAAAACGAAGAUUUGUUGUCACAGUCUCACAGAUCAUGUUUCACGAUAUUUAGUUAAUUACUUCUAUGUUUUCACUAAAUCCUAGUCUUUAGACCGAGUCGACGUCAAGUUAAGAGCGCAGUACAAAGCUAGCUCUAACAAACCAGUAACACUAUACUCGAGCAGUACAAGAGCAUCAAUUUUCACAGCAACAAAUACAAAUACAAAGAAAAACCAAACACAGCUAAAUGUAAACUGCCUUUUACCUCAAGGCACAUUAAGACAUGUCAAAGCAGAUCUACUCCUCGCUCCAGCUGAAAGAGCUUCCCAAAGUUAGUCAAAAGACACCAAAACCAUAUCGACCACGGCCUCCGCACAUAAAGAGCUGUAUGUUCUCCAUCGAUGCCCUUGUUCAAAACCAUCACGAUUGCUGACCUUAAAACCCUCAAGUUAUUGCAUGCAGCCUAACAAUAGUGUAACAAAGACCAUUCCAUUCAAUAUUAACUCCAAAUGGUCAAGCACUUCGUAAUAUUGCAUCAAAUUCGAAAUUGUCACAGCCUCAGCUAAACCAUAAUCGAGAUCACAAAUCGGUAAACUCCUCAAAUCCUUGCAGUGGCUAGGGCACACAUCCGACACAUUUCAUAAAGAACAAGUAGCUAGCUUGAUCUCUUGGUCAUUUCCAUCGCAGCCAUUAACUCAUAACUUUACCAAAGGGGGAGAAACGAGUCCUAUCGAUUCCAUAAUAUUGAUCAACGAACAAGAAAAAGGUUCAAAGGAAAAGGUUAAAAUUGUGGGAAGUGUAGAGAUUUCCAGCAUAUAGCUAGGAUAAAGACUUCUUGUGUACCAGGACUUGCAUACAAAAGGGAUUGCCGAAAGCAACAACUCCUAUUGCGACUCUUCCAAACACGUUGAGUAAACAGUCCGAGUCUAUCUCCUUCCAUUUUCCUUCAAUCAAACGCAUCCGGAUCUUGCUGAGUGGAAACCCUAGAGUCAUUUGAUAAAUGAGAACUAGGAAAACUAAAUGGGGAGAGAGAAGCAUAGGGUUGGACCGUUUCUGCAAAAAUGCGAAAAGGUAUUCAGCCUGAAAAUAUGAGCGGAUAGAAUCGGGACUCGUGAGUUGAUUUGGGGCCUGCCCGGUAAAGUAAUUGGGUCAUUAGUAAGAGGUUAACGAUAGUAGGAUUGAUCAUUCAAGCACAUAGAUGGCACGAAGUGGCGUAGUCAUAAAUUACAUUAGGAGGAGUCAAACUUUAGAUGAGUUAAUUUGUUAUCGUCGGAGUUCAUCGACAAAUAUGUAUGGGAUAAACAAAAUUAAAACGAAUAAAAAAUGAGAAAGAAAAAUACAAUAAAUACAAACAAAUAAAUGGAUUGUUUUUGCUUUGAUCUCAUGAACUAGUUAAAAGCCAGUAUAUUUGUUGUCACAUUUGAAGGGGCAAAAUGAAUCAAAUAGCUUAGAUACUCUCAUGUAUAAGUAAAAAUCUAAAGUACAAUACCUAUGGCAAGAUGGUGAGAAGGGUCAAUUGAACCUCCUACUCACCAUGUAGCUACGCCCCUGAUGACGUUUAUGUACUUCAAAUGGAAUGAAAUGAUUAUGGGGUAAUUAAAUGCAUGCAUGCAUUUACGAAGUACGAACACGUGGAAGGAAAUCAAAAUUGGCUAUGUUUCACCUCUUUAUCAGAAAUCGAAUACUCAGAGUGUGUUUGGAUAAAGGAUUUUUAGUUUCCAAAGACAUUCUUAAAUGACAAGAAUCAUGAUUCCACGAAUUAAUCUCUAGUAAUUAAGGAUUAUGUUGUUUGGGUAUCAUUAUAUAAAAUUUUAAAAAUGACAAUUAAGCACUAAAAUUACUUUUCUUUGAAAGUAAUAAAACAUAGUUUUGAUCGAAUGAAUUCAGAAUUAACGUGUAUUUUUUAGGGAAUUCAAAACAUGAAUUUAAACCUCCAAUUCUCUCAAAUUUAUUUUCUCGUCAUUUAAAGGACGUUAGUGCCUCUUUUUAUUGUUCACAACUUGAGAGUAGAUACAACAACAUGAACACGAUCCGCCUGCGGGAGCUACGUAAGAAAUGAAUCUUGCGAAACUACCUAGUACACACUAAUCAAUCUCUAUGCUGGAGACCAUGGGAUGAUGCACUAUGAUCAAUCGAUAUUGUCUUGGUAGCACACGAACCAGGUUACCAGCCACUAAGACAUAAGGAGGAAGGGACAAGUCCUCAACCUAUCUUAUUUGACCACUUCCGGGACCAUCCUAAGCAGAGGGGGCCAUGGGGCAACCUCAGAGCACCAACAAACCCUAGUUAAAGGCCAAAAACCCAAGAACUAAGAAAAUGCUCUAGACCUGCAAGCAACCCUAGACUAAAACUAAUAAAUAAGAAAAGAUAAAACAAUAAAGCCAGGGCCCGUGACCCAAAGACCACCAGGCCUAAGAAUAGUCCACACCUCAGCUAGGGCUAGGUAGGCUCAAUCAAUGAAUCCGGCCCAAUCUAGCAUCUCCUUCCUUGCGAAAAACUGUCGCACGCACUUUAAGGAGAUCUGUCGUUGCCCAAUCUAGUAUGUUUUCUUUUCCUAAGUCAUUUAAGAAUUUCAUGAUAUGGGAUACCAAAUGGGAAAAUCGGAUAUAUAGAUGAAAUCAUGAAAUCCUGAAAUUUAAUUAUAUUCUAGAGAAUUUCGUCGCAUCUAAACACAGCGUAAAGAAUUUGAUUACGAAUGAGGAAGAUAGAUUUAGGAAUCAACCAUUAGGAGUCGAUAUUGUUUCAUUUAUUCUCCAAUUCUAUUUGUCUCUAAUCAUUUAUUUUCUAAGUAAUUAAGUAAAUGUGCAAAUAGUGUACUUGUUUGAUUAAUGAGCCAAAUGAGUUUUGUGGCAACACAAAUACAUCCUACGAUUUCUUGCCUUGUGAGUCUUUACAUUAUUAUUGGAUGGAUUCAACUAUUAAGGCCUCCUAUGUACAACCAAUGUGUGACAAUAUUGCCAUACUUAUCUUAGAGAAGCUUUUGUCUCAUCUCAAUUUCUCAUUACAACCUAUAAAUUUUAACUUCAACUUUUCAAGUUUAUGACAUAAAGUAACCAGCUGUCAUAUAAAUUUUAAACUACAAUAAUGUAACAAUCACUGCAUCAAGUUCAUAAUUCAAAGUACAACAUAUCAAAAAUAUCCAUCACCAUAUUAUGAUAUAUUUUCAUCAAUCAAUCACUGUAACCAUAAAACAUUAAAAUUGAUAAAAGUUCAUAAGUACAUAACACAAUUCAUCACUGAAUAAAAUCUGAAAUAAGCAGAUCAUCACCAAAUAAUAAAAGUCCAUUAGAGAACUAAAAUUUAGAGGCGCUUAAGUCUUCAAUAUUUUUCAACAAAGUGGGUUUUUUGAAGUUUAUUCUUCAAGAAGUUCAUCAACACAUGUUGAUUGAGAAGGACUUUUGAGAUUGUUUUACUUAGGUUUUUUUGAGAUUUUUUUUGAGAAGUUUUCCAUAAUUGAUAUCAGAGUUUGCUUUCUUUGGUUUGUUCACCUUGUAGCUAGUUUGAGAAUGUGUAUAUAGUACGUUUCUAGCCUUUUGUUCUUCUAUUAAUGUAAGUUUGUAUUUGGAUUGAACUCUUCAAUCUUAUAAAAAGCUACAUAUGACUUUACUGAUGUCCUUUCUUCUUUUUCUUCUUCUUCUUCUUCUUCUUCUUCUUCUUCUUCUUUUGUGUCAGAAUUUAGUGACGUUAUCUUGCUAUAUAAAGAACCACCAGAAGGGAACGAUGUAAUACUAGUUUACAAAGAAGUGAAUGAGAAAUGUAGAGUCCUAUAUAUUUCAAUACCCUACGAGAUACUACGAAAAUGUAAAAGGACAACCGAUGGGUUACUUAUGUUUAUCCUAAGAGAGAGUGGGAAAAACCUGAGGAACAAAAAAAGCAAGGAGCUUCCUUAGGUUCCCAUAUACGAAGGGCAGUAGAGUAUGCUAAGGAUAAGCAAGAAGAAAUUGAAAAAACUUACCCGAGAAUGGUCAUGUACGGGAAGUAUAUCUUUAAGAUAUAUGUGAGUUUCCCUUUAAAUCUUGUUGUGGAGCUCCCAACAGUAUAUGACACUGUGGUUGAUUUCUACAAGACGUUAAAGCUUCCAUUAGAGAGUUACAAUAUUCUUCCCCCUUCUUUACUCGGCAAUCAAAUUCAUGUCCCUAUGUCAUUGAUCAUCCCACUACUGCCCAAUUGUUCUUACUAGCCUCACCAAUGCUAUUAGACUAACCCUUGCUUUUCAGCUCUAAACCUUUGAAAAAUAACAAGAUCCAUUGCAGGCUUGGGGCAGACCAGUUAGAUAAUUAGUAGGGUUAAAGAAUAAAUGUUUUACAAUUUGUAUCACUACUAUUGGAAAUCCCUGUUAACAAUCAUCAACAUACAAUAAGAUUUAAACGUUCACAUCAAGGUUCAAUUAGUAAGGCUUCAAAGAACAUCAUAUAGAAUUCAAAUUUGAUAAGGAAACCAAAGUUACUAUAAAACCUUGCAAACACGUAAAUUCAACAGAUUUGGUCACACAAAUUUUAGCCCACAUGGAAUUAUCAAAAGCAUGCAGGCAUAUUAUUAACUAAAACACAAGGAUUAGAUCUAACAUAGCAACUCUUUUCAUCACUUUGGCGUGAAUGUGCGACUUCCUGAAGUCAAGUUUCAACUUCAGUAAUAGAUAGUGUUCCAACAACCAAAUAAGUCCUAACAUGCAAGCAUAACUCUACCUGCAUAAGAAUCAUGAAAGACAAUAUUAAGAAACAGCAAAAUAAGCUGAUCAGAGCCUAUGAAUCUAGUUAAUCUACUACACGCUGCAUGAUUUUAUUUCUGUGAAGGAGCAUGAGUACUAUGAUAGGCAUCAUAAUAACAAACCCAUGUAAAGCUUUUUGUGUCAUCAAGCCUCAAUCACUCAACAGACAGUAUGAAACCAAACAGGAAAAAGAAAACAAGAUGCAAUUCAAAUUGCACAAUGCGUUCUCGAAGAAAAUGACUACAAAUAAUAUCAAUUCCUUUGUGCAAAUCAGAAAAGAGUUGACAUGCUAUAAAGUUUUAUCUGUGGCUUUCCUAGACAUCAUCUAACUUCAAGAUAGUAUGCUACAGGUCCUGUUGACUAGCUGAAAUGAGCACUUUCAGGGAUAACAGAAUAUCAUCAACACUGCUCAUUUCAUAAGAUACUUGCACCUUAAUAGUAUAAAAAAUAGGAAGUUCUAACAUCAAAAAUUCAAUUUUUCCCAGAGAUCCAUUUUCUCUCGGUUCUAAAAUGGGGAAGUUUUACAAAACUAUGGAUAGCAAUUCACGAGCAAGUGUUCUUAGAGAAUUGUGCGACUAUUGAUUCUACAAAACUGUGGAUAACAACCCAGGAGGUCAUUUAAAUCCCUGAGCCAUUAUAAAAAAAAAAAUGCAGCAUAACACUUAAAUAAAAUGUUGUGCAACCUUUAAAACUGAGUAAAACCUCGACCUUCUUCUGAAGUAAUCUAAACAGUUAGAAUAACGUUUAAUAUAAAGAAGAAAAAGACAGGAGAUUCAACCUCUGGUUAUCUGAGCUUCCCCUUCUCACUGCUCCUCCGUGCAGCUUCCUUAACCUUCUCAAUGUAGCCUUCAAUUGGAGGAGUCAGAAUUGCCAUGAACCGAUCUGUAGGGAAUGGAGUCAUGUCUGGCACCAAUGCUGCUGCUUUCAAAUGUUCAUGCAAUGCCUCAAUAGCCUCCUUCUUCAAACGCAAGUGUUGACUCUGCUGCUUGCCUUGCCCGGUGACACCUCAUCAACACCCUGCUAUACUCCUUAGCAAGCCGCUGGCCAUCUUCAGCAGUCAGUUCAUAUUUUGGUAACUUCUCCUCAUCAACCAAACCUAGUGAUAUCAAAUCCAAACCAGGAGGUCCAAUAACUGUUGGUUUUUCCGAGAUCUGAAAUUCUGGCUUAUUCUUUUUCUUCAUAUCAAUUUCACGCUGUCGAUCUUUGCUAAUAAGUCCCAACUUCGCUCACUCGGCUUCACGUUGUUUCUCCUUCUCCGUCAGGUACCUGACAGGUGUAGGUGCACUUAAGCAUUGCUCAUAAAACUUUUCUCUUUCAGCAUAUCUUUUCCCUCCUGCACCUUUAGGAGCAGCAUCUGCAGAACCCUUUUUCGUAGUUAUCUUUGAGCGCUUCAGCGGGGCUGCAGUUUUCAC